This is a non-coding RNA of Glycine soja, 120 nucleotides long. The record is from Rfam. Lineage: Eukaryota; Viridiplantae; Streptophyta; Magnoliopsida; Fabales; Fabaceae.
UUUUUAUUGGAUGAUGACUGUCAUGUGUUAUGUUCUGAUUGGAUGUCAACUCCAUGAAAAAUAAAAUGCAUUGUUAUAUUUAUUGACCAAUCAAAACAUGACACAUGAUAGUCAUCAUCU